RNAcentral lists this transfer RNA (99 nucleotides) under Acidobacteriota bacterium. RNAcentral's name for it is "Acidobacteria bacterium (activated sludge metagenome) tRNA-Sec". It matches the Rfam family "Selenocysteine transfer RNA". Lineage: Bacteria; Pseudomonadati; Acidobacteriota. The record is from RNAcentral.
GGAGGCGAAUUUGGUCCGGUGACCUUCCCGGCCUUCAAAGCCGGCGUUUCGGUCCUUCGCGGAUCGAAAGGUGGGUUCGACUCCCACACGCUUCCGCCA